Molecule: long non-coding RNA, 344 nt
Organism: Oryzias melastigma (Indian medaka)
Lineage: Eukaryota; Metazoa; Chordata; Actinopteri; Beloniformes; Adrianichthyidae
Exons: 4
Source: RefSeq, a predicted model, not a curated record
GAUGAAAUUCAGUGCAUAAAACAGAGUAAGCACAGCAACAUGUGGAAGUUCUAAAAAGAUAAAAAUUACUCUGCUUAUUAAAUUUUUUUUACUGUCAUUCCUGUAGGAGACAGUUUCCCUGGAAUCUGAUUUUACUUUCCAUCUUUACUCUUUCUUUGGCCUAUAUGACAGGGAUGCUGUCCAGUUUCUAUAACACCAAGUCAGUUGUGAUGUGCCUGGGCAUCACGGCAGCAGUCUGUCUCCUGGUCACAGUCUUCAGUUUCCAAACUAAGAUCGAUGUUACUUCAUACCAAGGAGUGCUCUUUGUCUUCUGCAUGGUUAUGUUCAUCUCCGGACUGCUCCUA